This 504-nucleotide ribosomal RNA is filed under the name uncultured bacterium. Its description in RNAcentral is "bacterial SSU rRNA". It matches the Rfam family "Bacterial small subunit ribosomal RNA", at positions 337 to 859 of the family's 1533-position model. The record is from RNAcentral.
UCCUACGGGAGGCAGCAGUGGGGAAUCUUAGACAAUGGGGGCAACCCUGAUCUAGCCAUGCCGCGUGAGUGAUGAAGGCCUUAGGGUCGUAAAGCUCUUUCGCCUGUGAUGAUAAUGACAGUAGCAGGUAAAGAAACCCCGGCUAACUCCGUGCCAGCAGCCGCGGUAAUACGGAGGGGGUUAGCGUUGUUCGGAAUUACUGGGCGUAAAGCGCGCGUAGGCGGAUUAGAAAGUUGGGGGUGAAAUCCCGGGGCUCAACCUCGGAACUGCCUCCAAAACUGCUAGUCUAGAGUUCGAGAGAGGUGAGUGGAAUUCCGAGUGUAGAGGUGAAAUUCGUAGAUAUUCGGAGGAACACCAGUGGCGAAGGCGGCUCACUGGCUCGAUACUGACGCUGAGGUGCGAAAGUGUGGGGAGCAAACAGGAUUAGAUACCCUGGUAGUCCACACCGUAAACGAUGAAUGCCAGUCGUCGGGUAGUAUACUAUUCGGUGACACACCUAACGGA